Molecule: long non-coding RNA, 1737 nt
Organism: Anguilla anguilla (European eel)
Lineage: Eukaryota; Metazoa; Chordata; Actinopteri; Anguilliformes; Anguillidae
Exons: 7
Source: RefSeq, a predicted model, not a curated record
AUAAUGAACUCCUGUGGAAUUAUUAGUUAAUAUUUAACGGAUUAAUUGUUUUCAUUGAAAAAGUAACUUACCCGUUAUCACAAUGGCAGUAGGUAUAAAUGUAAUACUUAAAAACCGCUGUGGACAAUGUUGUGAGGAACCUCAUGGAGUGAUGAUAAAUCUUUGACGGCACAAAAUGCACCGAUUAUUUUGCGGACCUUUUCUUUAUUUUUCACCUAUUGUAUUAAAACCGCGCAAAGAAUACUUCCAAAAGAAAGAGUAAAAGAAAAUAUAUGACAAGCGGUGUUCGCAGAGCAGAAAGCGACAGAUUAAACUCUCUGGUUAAGGUCUUCUGCUUGCCGAGCGUGGCUCCUGAACCGAGUGGAACACAGAGAGCAUCAUUAGCACAGAGGACCGGAGAUUGCCAUUCUCCGUGGAUUUAGCAAACUCAAGUGGUUACUCGAGGUAUUGCAGUUUAGUAAGCCUCUGGUUCCAAAAAAACCAAUCACCCCAUUGAAGGCCAUUCAAAACUACGAAUUUAUCCAGAAAUACCCUGGCCAAAUUAAUUUAUUUUAGACAGAACUUUUAAAAUCUAAUUUCUAAUAAACACUAAUUUCUUCACUAAUUACUCUCCAGGCAACUAUUUUAUUUCUGAGUCCCACAGAAUAUAUAAAAUUUAUUUAAUUCCAGUUUGCUCCUCAUGGUUUUACAGUGUUUCAUAGUGCGCACAAGUGCUUAAACGUGCACACCCUGGCAUGAACGGGUAUGAGGCUGUGAUUGACUCAUCCUGAGAGAGUUGCCAGGACAGAAAUGGACUGCAUUUAUAUAGCACUUUUACCCAAAGCGCUUUACAAUUUGACGCCUCUCAUUCUCCCAUUCACACACACACCAACAGUGAAAGUCUGCCAUGCAAGGUUGGGAGCAAUUUGGGGUUAAGCGUUAGCCUACUCUGACACAUCUGUUCUGUUCUGUGUGGACAACAUAGCUCAGGAGUUACUUAGUAGCAGUGGGCAGCCACAGUGCAGCACCCGGGGACCAACUCCAGUUCUGAGGGCAGUGCCUUGGUCAAGGGCAACUGCAGGAGCUCACCUAACAUGCAUAUCUUCGAGUGUGGGAGGAAACCGGAGUACCCGGAGUAAACCCACGCGAACACGAGGAGAACAUGCAAACUCCACGCAGAGAGGAUCGGUCAGACCCGGAUUCGAACCCGCGACCACCCUCUUGCGAGAGAUAAAUCACCCCAGCAACACCCCAUGCAUCAAAGGAAAUCCACAUCACCAUGAACAUGCAGAAGAGGAGCCUUGUAUUCUGAGGUGGAUGUAUAAUUAUCCAAAGAAGCCUUUCACCCAUUUUUCACUAAUUUUUCUGAACACCCAUCAUGAGUACUGAACCAGUAGAACUUCCUCCACUGCCUGGAAGAUGCAGAAGCAACUUGCUGAUCAAGACACUACUUUUAAUUUUUAUUUUUGCUAUUUCUUUUUCUGUUUAUUUUUCUGGAACCUGGCCAACCUUCAUCGUGCUAUUGGAUCCUGUGUACCCCACCAACACAGAGCUGGAACAUGAGCCAACCGAAAAUCCAUUCAGAGAGAUGUCUGUGGAUGACAUAAUGCGUUCGGUAUGGGACGAUCUCCCAGCAGACGGCAACUUCAGCUCUAUUGAAAGCUCUUCCAGUGGCCAGCACAGUGUGGUCAACUUGGAGCAGCCCGGAGCCCAGUACUGUGUGGGGGACAGCUUAAUCGUGCUGGUGAACAUGAAGGA